UGGGGAAUCUUGCACAAUGGGCGCAAGCCUGAUGCAGCAACGCCGCGUGCGGGAAGACGGCCCUAGGGUUGUAAACCGCUUUCAGGAGGGAAGAAAAUGACGGUACCUCCAGAAGAAGGUGCGGCCAACUACGUGCCAGCAGCCGCGUGACACGUAGGCACCAAGCGUUAUCCGGAUUUAUUGGGCGUAAAGAGCUCGUAGGCGGUUCGGUAAGUCGGGUGUGAAAAUCCAAGGCUCAACCUUGGGACGCCACCCGAUACUGCUGUGACUCGAGUGCAGUAGGGGAGCAGGGAAUUCCUGGUGUAGCGGUGAAAUGCGCAGAUAUCAGGAGGAACACCAGUGGCGAAGGCGCCGCUCUGGGCCGUAACUGACGCUGAGGAGCGAAAAGCAUGGGUAGCAAAACAGGAUUGAGAUACCCUGGUAGUCCAUGCCGUAAAACGUUGGGCACUAGGUGUGGGUCUCAACCAACGAGAUCCGCGCCGUCGCUAACGCAUUAAGUGCCCCG
This 505-nucleotide ribosomal RNA is filed under the name uncultured bacterium. Its description in RNAcentral is "bacterial SSU rRNA". It matches the Rfam family "Bacterial small subunit ribosomal RNA", at positions 355 to 871 of the family's 1533-position model. The record is from RNAcentral.